GAUGAACGCUGGCGGCGUGCUUAACACAUGCCAGUCGAACGAUGAGGCCCAGCUUGCUGGGUGGAUUAGUGGCGAACGGGUGAGUAACACGUGAGUAACCUGCCCUUGACUCUGGGAUAAGCCUGGGAAACUGGGUCUAAUACUGGAUAUGACUUCUCAUCGCAUGGUGGGGGGUGGAAAGAUUUAUUGGUCUUGGAUGGACUCGCGGCCUAUCAGCUUGUUGGUGGGGUAAUGGCUCACCAAGGCGACGACGGGUAGCCGGCCUGAGAGGGUGACCGGCCACACUGGGACUGAGACACGGCCCAGACUCCUACGGGAGGCAGCAGUGGGGAAUAUUGCACAAUGGGCGCAAGCCUGAUGCAGCGACGCCGCGUGAGGGAUGACGGCCUUCGGGUUGUAAACCUCUUUCAGUAGGGAAGAAGCGAGAGUGACGGUACCUGCAGAAGAAGCGCCGGCUAACUACGUG
RNAcentral lists this ribosomal RNA (466 nucleotides) under uncultured bacterium. RNAcentral describes it as "partial 16S ribosomal RNA". It matches the Rfam family "Bacterial small subunit ribosomal RNA", at positions 28 to 507 of the family's 1533-position model. The record is from RNAcentral.